RNAcentral lists this long non-coding RNA (3209 nucleotides) under Homo sapiens (human). RNAcentral's name for it is "HSALNT0056459". The record is from RNAcentral. Lineage: Eukaryota; Metazoa; Chordata; Mammalia; Primates; Hominidae.
GACGGGGUUUCACCACGUUGGCCAGGCUGGUGGCAAACUCCUAACCUCAGGCGAUCCGCCCGCCUCGGCUUUCCAAAGUUCUGGGAUUACAGGUGUGAGCCCACCGCGCCCGGCCUCUAUAAAGACAUUCUAAUGUACAUUUGUGAUGCUUUCUGGGCAAUGAGAAAUACCAUUUCUUGGGGGGAAAUUUCAAGAGUUAUGAAUUAAUAUAAAAGAGAAAGCCUGGCUCUAUAAGCACCUUGAAGAGGAAAACAUACUCAUGUGACUUGAGGCUACCAAUCAGAUUCACCCAAACAUAACUUUGACCCGGAAGGGACUCAGCUGAGAAAACAAGCACCACUUACCAGGUUCUGCCCGUUCUUGACCCUAAGACUAAAUUUAAAAACGUGUGGUAAAGUCUACUCAAGGGAGGAGGAAGUCCUUUAUGAGGAUCCGCUUCCCCUUAAUGAAUAAUGGUCUGCAGGAGCCACGAAAUCUGGAGCAGCCGAAAAACCACAGAAGAAGUGAAACCCCAGUUCCUGCCUUCACCGAUUGACCCUCCAUAUGACCUUCCACCACUAUGACUGGUUCCUGCCCUACCCUAACUGAUCAGUUGACCCUGGGACAUUCUUCUCCUGGACAGUGAGUCUCAUGGUCUCUCCACCAUGCACCUUGUGACCCCCUCCCCUGCUGACAACAGAUAACCACCUUUGACUGUAACUUUCUACUGCCUACCCGAGCCCUGUAAAGCUGCCCCUCCCCUAUCUCCCUUUGCUGACUCUCUUUUCGGACUCAGCCCACUUGCACCCAAGUGAAUAAGCAGCCUUGUUGCUCACACAAAGCCUGUGUAGGUGGUCUUCUAUACAAACAUGAGUGAUACUUGGUGCUGAAACCAGGGACAGGGGGACUCCUUCGGGAGACUGGUUCCCUGUCCUCACCCUCUCUCCAUGAGGAGAUCCACAUAUGACCUUGGGUCCUCAGACCAGCCCAAGGAACAUCUCACCAAUUUCAAAUCGGGUGUCCACACAGUCCCUGGUUACGCUUGAAGCAGUCCUGAGAGACAUCGCCCUUACCCCUCCAAAAAAAACUCCCCAGAAGGAAUUUAUAUUCUUUAUCUUUUCUUAUAACUUUAUAUUUUAUAAAUAAAAAGACAGGAAUGUUAGGUCUCUGAGCUGAAGCUCAGCCAUUAUAACCCCUGUGACCUGCACACAUAUGUCCAGAUGGCCUGCAGGAGCCAAGAAAUCUGCAGCAGCCGAAAAACCACAAAAGAAGUGAAACCUCAGUUCCUGCCUUCACCGAUUGACCCUCCAUAUGACCUUCCACCACUAUGACUCGUUCCUGCCCUACCCUAACUGAUCAGUUGACCCUGGGACAUUCUUCUCCUGGACAGUGAGUCUCAUGGUCUCUCCACCAUGCACCUUGUGACCCCCUCCCCUGCUGACAACAGAUAACCACCUUUGACUGUAACUUUCCACUGCCUACCCGAGCCCUAUAAAGCUGCCCCUCCCCUAUCUCCCUUUGCUGACUCUCUUUUCGGACUCAGCCCACUUGCACCCAAGUGAAUAAGCAGCCUUGUUGCUCACACAAAGCCUGUGCAGGUGGUCUUCUAUACGGACUCGUGUGACAAGCUUGCCUUUCCCUUUUCAAUACUUUGUUUCCACUAUGCUUAUGCCCGGAUGAUAUAGUUCUAUUUUUAUAAUCUUUCAGGUGUAAAAUAAAAUUCUAAUAUGAUGUGCAUCUAUCACAUGAGCAAUUUUUCCUCUGAGAUUUAAAUAACUGUUGCAGUUUCUCAAAAGAAAAGUACUUUUUAAGAACAACAAUUAAUUUGAGGCCUAUUUUAAAGUACUCCUAUUAUUCCAAAUGGCACAGGUAUGCUGAGCAGGGAAGUUGUCUUCACAGAAAUAAAAAGGAAGAAAAACAAAACCCCCUUUUGGAUUCGCAAUGCCUGACAGGCGUUGUGUUUAAUCCUCACAUCCUAACAUGCUGGUAUUUCUCUAGACCCAUGCCUAAAUUUUGUGGCAUACACAUGGGCUAAAGAGAUCUAUGGCUCUAAAAAGUUAUAUUAUUUAAAGGCAUGCAUACAUUUUAAAAGCCUGGAAAUUCAUUAUUUAAUAGCCUCCCCUCUGAUGAAAUCCUCUUUUAGGAGAUUUUGAAUAUUUCUUCAAAACAUUAGUUAAUAUAAAACAAGAUGAAAGUAACUGGAUAUCAUCCAGAUAAAUAGGAUGGAUUAUUUUCUUUCUACUAGUAUCAAAAUUUUCAAUAGCUUCUUAGUUUAUCAAAUAUAUGUUGUAUUUUAAAAAGUGCUACAACUUAAUCAUUAUUUUGAGGAACAAAUAUAAAACGUGACCCCACUCUUCUCACACUUUAUAAUGAUGUUCAUGGGGUAGCAUGAGAACAGGUUUCCAGGCUUUCUUCCUCAGGAUUAUCAAUGUAGAACUGUUUCCCUUUUUGCACUGGUUUUAUGGGAGCACAGAGCCUUCCUUGCUUAGAACAUGCAUCUUUUAAUGAAAGAGAUAUAUCACUUUUCACAUGUCAGUCAUGUCACAAAAAUUACUGUGAGUUGCUAGAACGGUUGCCUAAUUUGAGAUGAGGAAAAUCACCUGUCACCACUGACACAGAAUAUAAAGUGGCAAGGUCAAAUGGUACAUUAUACUUAUAAGGCAAAUUGUCUGUAUCAUUCUUGAAAAGUUAAUAUGUUACUGAAAAACUUAAAUUCUUAUUAUUUUGAUCAUAUGAAAGGACAGUUUGAAACAUUUACAAUCAUAAUAUUUGAAACAAAGGACUUGUUUCCCACUCUCUGAUGACAAUGGUCAGAUUACCAGGGCAACCUCCAAAAGUGUGCAUGUCAAGUAAGAGACUGGAUGUUUCUAAGGCUGCCGAGGAAAUCAGUCAUAACUCAACUGGAAAGGUCAGAGUUUUAUGCUUUGAGUUUUUCACUAAUUCAGAAAUCAAAUUGUCACUCUUUUCACCAAAAGUGAAGAGUAUGAAUUCAGCAUUCAGCUAUUGUAUGGAGAAGCUUAUUGCAGAGAAGAAAAGGAGAACAGAAUGAAAGGUCUAAUUGGGAGGAGGAAGGUUGUGGAAUAGGACACUCUUGUAGACAAAGAUAUGUCCUGAUUAAGUGAGGCCAGGAGAGGCAGGGCGUAAGAGGAAACAGUACCUUCUACUUACUAAGAGCUCAGGUUCUGGUGUUGAAAAGAAACGGGUUUAACUCCUGCCUAAACUCUUACCAG